GGUUCUGGAACCAGGUCUUGACUUGGGCAUCAGUCAUUUUCAGAGCCUUGGCUAAAGCCGCCCUCUCGGCUGAGGCCAGGUACUUCUGUCGGUGGAAGCGUUUUUCCAGUUCACAGAUCUGCAGACGGGUGAAAGAGGCUGAGCAUUUGCUGGAAAGAGGCUAACCUGGUGCCAGAGAGGCAUAGAAAAGUUUAGCUGGGAAGCGGCGGAAGAAAUAGAAGUGGCAGCAGAUCUAUUUAAGAACACAGCAAAUAAUCCCAAAACUGAAAUUGGCGACUUUUGAUUAAUUUAUCGGCAACACCCCGUUAUCUCACCUGAGAUCCCUCUGAGCUCGCCUGAUCUGGGUACUGUGCUUCCCGUAAUGUUCAGCAGUCUCCCAAACCGAACAAGGAACGGAGGGACAUUCUAUGAACCUUGUUCGGCGGUGCCGAGGCUGAUUUUGCCACAAAGAGCCCUAGCAACUCCGCGCAGCCUUCGCUCUCCACGCCAAUAUGGCUCGCGUUUUCCCAGCGUAGGCCCUCGGCGGAAGGACGGCGGGAAAGAAAAAAAAAAAGGCCAAGAUUAGGCCUCUGUACCAAGAACAAAAUCUGUUCUUUCCGAAGAACGAAUUGCGACUCGGGAUAAAAAUUCUCUUAUAUAUAUAAAAAAUAUCUAAAGCCCGAUGAGAACGGGCCGGAAGAUGAUUUGUUCCGAACUAAAACGAGCCAGCCUCUUUUGCGGCAGCCCCCUCGGCAGGGAGGAGAACCAGGAGAGGCCUUUUCGGGCGGCAAGGCCUUAGCCGCAUCUGCGCCAUUGCGAGUGGAAAUGUCGGAAGGCAAAAAAUAAUCCGGCCUUGCUAAUUGGCGGCGAAGGCGAUGCAAUCCAGCAGGUCUAGAGACCUUCUCCAAUCUGGCGGCGGCCAGGCAAAAUAAAUAAAGCGGCCGCCUGGGUCGUCGCGUCUUCGGGUUAAACUGCUUCAGACAUUGCCCGCGAUGCCGAAAAUCGCUGGUAUCCCUUCUCCCCAGCUUCGGUUGCUGUUUACGAUUUCUCUCCGCCAUUCAAGUAAAAGUAACCAACUCCCAUAGAAACUGAGGCGUGGCGGGCAAUUCAAAACUCAGUGCAACCAGGAUUACAAGCCUCUAUGCGCGGACCGGGGCGCGGAUGCCUACAACUGAAGGGAAAUUUUCCUCCUUCCUGGCCGCGUCUAGUCCGAAAUUGGCUCCACUCGUUCAGGGGUAAUGACUCUCGGUUGGAUCUACAAUUACAGGCCGGGAGUUGCUGCCAUUGAACUCCGCGGAGCUCCCUUCAGAGCAGAGCGUCAAAGAGCAAGAUCGCGCCGCUACAGCCUUGAUCUGCCCAUCCGUCUUGCUGGGGACAUCGCAGCAACCAUUACUCUAAUCUGCAUGUAAUAAUCUCCCGCCCCGGCUGGAAGCCGGGUAAAGGGCUAGCCCUGGGGAGGUCGUAUUCUGCUCCGAAGCAGCAGGUAAUGGGACCUUUAUUGAUGAAGGUCGGGGCUCGCUGUUUAAAUUAAAAUUGAAAUAUAAUUACCAUUAUUGUUUGUGGCAUCCUGGUUGGGGGGGGGGGAUGAGCGUAAAUCUGGGCGAUUCGGAAAGAACAUUGGCUUGCUAAAAUUUAUCUUCCAAUAGAUCUGCCAUUAAACGAUGAAUUGACAUUUUGCUCUCUUCUCUCCCUCCCCUGCUCUUUUUAAGGCACGUGGAAUAAUGUAGGUGCCAAUUUAUGGGUCACACAUGCCCCAUACUUCUAGGAAAAGAUGAACCUGGGGGGGGGAGGCAUGAGUUUCUUGGAUUCAACUAUAGAUCAUCUUGUGGCACUUUCCCUUUCAGAGCUACCAGUAUUAAUGUCAUUUCUGUACUGCUUGUCUGAAAGAUACAUUUCUUCUAAAUGCUUAUUUUUAUCCGUAUUCCCACGCUCCAUCAUUUAUAACAAUAAUUGUGAGGGAUGCACACAAGUACGCUGAAUAAACUUGAUCAGGAAACAUGUAGAUAGAAGCAUUAUUUGUUCAGUUUAUGAUUCAUAAGUUUUGAAAAUUCUAGUUAUGGUACAUUUUUAAAACCUAGUUAUUUUUCAACUAUAUAUUUAUAUACUACAAAAGUUGGUGAACUAUAUAUAUGAAAUCGUUUGAUAACUCCAUGUGUACAUAAGUAUAUGUAUACCUACAUACACAUAAAAAUAUACAGAGAUAAUGAUGUCGAUGAUAGUGGUGGCUAUAGGGUUAUUAUAGUAUUUAUAGUAUAGAUUCUAGCCAUAUCUGUAAUGUUCCUAAGAGAUGCGUUACCAUAGGCGGACGCGUUUUACUCGCGGAAUUGAGGUGGGCAAACUGUAUCAAUUCUUGAACGAAGUAUAGAAAAUUGGAAAAGAACCUACAAUGCGGGGAAACUGGUUGAAAUAACAUUUAAUUUUAAAAUGUUGAAAGAACCUGCUUAACCCAAGAAUGCAAAAUUGAACGUUUAAGUGUUUUAAAAGGUUGCCUAAAGGCUAAGGCGACGAAACGAUUUGCUCGCCGUUGGAGCUUCUGAGAGAAGCGGUGAGAGUUUCAGAAGAUAUCUCUUCCGUGGAAGUUUUAAUCAAGGUGAAAACUCGUUGCUAGCUACGCUAUUAAAAUACCGUUAAUUUAAUAAGGUUAAUCAAGCCGCCAUGAAAAUUACUAGGAAACGCUUGCUACUUGACGUUUCGCCUUCUGAAUUUCUGGCAUCGCUGCACUUUCGGGCCAAACCGCUAAGGCAAACAUCCGUCAAGGCUGUUUAUAAAUCAAACCCAAUCGAUUCAAUUAAAGCGGUUGCAAAUCGAAUCGGAGCACGCCCGGGAUUCUCUCGCUGGAGGGCAGGAGAGGGAGGCUACGCAGCGGACCGACUUGCGGAGGCGGGAGCGGGGAAGGCAGCGGGGGCAGCGCUGGCAGGCGCCGGCGACUCGCGCGGGGCGGAAAGAGCCCCGGAGCC
Long non-coding RNA from Crotalus tigris (Tiger rattlesnake), 2936 nucleotides. RefSeq lists it as uncharacterized. NCBI's taxonomy places the organism in Eukaryota, Metazoa, Chordata, Lepidosauria, Squamata, Viperidae. The transcript is spliced from 3 exons. The record is from RefSeq and is a predicted model, not a curated record.